AUGAACGCUGGCGGCGUGCCUAAUACAUGCAAGUCGAGCGAACGGACGAGAAGCUUGCUUUUCUGAUGUUAGCGGCGGCCGGGUGAGUAACACGUGGAUAACCUACCUAUAAGACUGGGAUAACUUCGGGAAACCGGAGCUAAUACCGGAUAAUAUUUUGAACCGCAUGGUUCAAAAGUGAAAGACGGUCUUGCUGUCACUUAUAGAUGGAUCCGCGCUGCAUUAGCUAGUUGGUAAGGUAACGGCUUACCAAGGCAACGAUGCAUAGCCGACCUGAGAGGGUGAUCGGCCACACUGGAACUGAGACACGGUCCAGACUCCUACGGGAGGCAGCAGUAGGGAAUCUUCCACAAUGGGCGAAAGCCUGACGGAGCAACGCCGCGUGAGUGAUGAAGGUCUUCGGAUCGUAAAGCUCUGUUAUCAGGGAAGAACAUAUGUGUAAGUAACUGUGCACAUCUUGACGGUACCUAAUCAGAAAGCCGCGGCUAACUACGUG
Molecule: ribosomal RNA, 496 nt
Filed under: uncultured bacterium
Lineage: Bacteria
Description: partial 16S ribosomal RNA
Rfam family: Bacterial small subunit ribosomal RNA
Source: RNAcentral